Molecule: unclassified non-coding RNA, 291 nt
Filed under: uncultured fungus
Lineage: Eukaryota; Fungi
Description: partial contains small subunit ribosomal RNA, internal transcribed spacer 1, and 5.8S ribosomal RNA
Rfam family: Eukaryotic small subunit ribosomal RNA (bases 1-73)
Source: RNAcentral
GCAAACUUGGUCAUUUAGAGGAAGUAAAAGUCGUAACAAGGUUUCCGUAGGUGAACCUGCGGAAGGAUCAUUAAUGAAUUAAGAAACAUUCUUAAAUUCCCUCUGCGUACAUGUAUCUGUUGCUUCCGCGAAUUAUGGAUUACUUUUCGAUGAUUGCGCUUUGCGUAAUAUUCGCGGAAGGUUAUUCAAUACUCUGUUUUUCUUACAUCACUGUCUGAGCAUGUUUACUCAAUAAAUAUAAAAACUUUCAACAACGGAUCUCUUGGUUCUCGCAUCGAUGAAGAACGCAGC